This 147-nucleotide signal recognition particle RNA is filed under the name Nomascus leucogenys (northern white-cheeked gibbon). Its description in RNAcentral is "Metazoan signal recognition particle RNA". It matches the Rfam family "Metazoan signal recognition particle RNA". Rfam says of the family: The signal recognition particle (SRP) is a universally conserved ribonucleoprotein. It is involved in the co-translational targeting of proteins to membranes. The record is from Rfam by way of RNAcentral. Lineage: Eukaryota; Metazoa; Chordata; Mammalia; Primates; Hylobatidae.
GCCGGGCGUGGUGGCUCACGCCUGUAAUCCUGACACUUUGGGAGGCUGAGGCGGGUGGAUAGCCUGAGGUCAGGAGUCUGAGACCUUUAGCCUCAAAGCUGAAACCUUUGGUUUCAGCCUGACCAAUAUGGUGAAAUCCCGUCUCUA